This 502-nucleotide ribosomal RNA is filed under the name uncultured bacterium. RNAcentral describes it as "bacterial SSU rRNA". It matches the Rfam family "Bacterial small subunit ribosomal RNA", at positions 86 to 623 of the family's 1533-position model. The record is from RNAcentral.
CAAUACGGAGCGGCAGACGGGUGAGUAACACGUGGGAACGUGCCCUUUGGUUCGGAACAACCCAGGGAAACUUGGGCUAAUACCGGAUAAGCCCUUACGGGGAAAGAUUUAUCGCCGAAGGAUCGGCCCGCGUCUGAUUAGCUAGUUGGUGGGGUAAUGGCUCACCAAGGCGACGAUCAGUAGCUGGUCUGAGAGGAUGAUCAGCCACACUGGGACUGAGACACGGCCCAGACUCCUACGGGAGGCAGCAGUUAGGAAUCUUGGACAAUGGGCGCAAGCCUGAUCCAGCCAUGCCGCGUGGGUGAUGAAGGCCCUAGGGUUGUAAAGCCCUUUCAGCGGGGAAGAUAAUGACGGUACCCGCAGAAGAAGCCCCGGCUAACUUCGUGCCAGCAGCCGCGGUAAUACGAAGGGGGCUAGCGUUGCUCGGAAUCACUGGGCGUAAAGCGCACGUAGGCGGCUUUUUAAGUCAGGGGUGAAAUCCUGGAGCUCAACUCCAGAACUG